ACGCUCGACACCUACGGGAUGCAGCAGUGAGGAAUAUUGGUCAAUGGGCGCAGGCCUGAACCAGCCAAGUAGCGUGAAGGAUGACUGCCCUAUGGGUUGUAAACUUCUUUUAUAUGGGAAUAAAGUUUUCCACGUGUGGAAUUUUGUAUGUACCAUAUGAAUAAGGAUCGGCUAACUCCGUGCUAGCAGCCGCGGUAAUCUGAGCGGGCUGGCAAGGC
Molecule: ribosomal RNA, 218 nt
Filed under: uncultured bacterium
Lineage: Bacteria
Description: partial 16S ribosomal RNA
Rfam family: Bacterial small subunit ribosomal RNA
Source: RNAcentral